Molecule: long non-coding RNA, 693 nt
Organism: Bubalus bubalis (water buffalo)
Lineage: Eukaryota; Metazoa; Chordata; Mammalia; Artiodactyla; Bovidae
Exons: 4
Source: RefSeq, a predicted model, not a curated record
ACGCCACCGCGUGGGGAGGGACUUCCUCCUGGCGCCCCGGAAACCGAAAGGAGCUCUUUUCUGCAGGAAGGAGAAGGGAGUUGCCGCCGACAUCGGACACCGGAAAGCAGGCUCGUUGUGUUGCGUAAGGUAUAUGAGCGCUUUGAAAACAGAACACCGUUGUUUCCGUGAUUCGAUCAUUCAGAAAUUAUGAAGGCACAGUUCUUGCCUUUGAUUGACUUAAAGUCAAGCGGAGUAGACAUAGGUCAUGGUGGCAGUAUAGCCACUUAAGUAUUCCGAAGGAGUUUAAUUCCACCAGGAUUUGAGUGAGGUGGAAAUAGAGCAGAAAAACCUGAAUCUGUCAAACUGGGGAAAAUGAAGAAAAGGCAAUCAAUUAAUUUAUCAGCAGGUUGCAGGUGAACAUGGCCUUGAGGUAAAUCCUGCCCCUUGUUGAAAUGUAGUUUCAGUAGAUAGUUCUUGGCAUUUUAAGGAAUUAGAAUAGUUACAAAAAAAAAAAAAAAGUUUUGUUUUGGUUCUUUUCUAGACUUUUUUUUUCUUGUAGAUGAUGAGAAACAUAUUAAAGGUUCUUUAUGCUGAGUAAUUGUGAUGCUUGAAGUUGGUCAUCUGCCUUGUUUAAAUUAAGUGGAUUUUAAAUGUCAAAGCUAAUUGUAGACCAUUUUUCCUUGAGCAAAAUAAAAUCUUAUUAAAACCUUA